ACCCACGACGUCUAAAGGCUUUUAAAGAACCAAGGGAAAUAACCCCACCAAACCCAACCCCACCCCCGCCCGAAGUCCCGUCACUCGCGCGGGUGACAAAUGGCAACUCAGCUGGAUUUGGGACGGGUUGGCUGGCAUAUGCUCGCCGCGACAACCACAGACAUGAGACGGCCCCCGGCGAGACGACAAUCUCGACCGAGGGCCUGACCAACGAGGAAGAAGCAACCUUCCCG
Molecule: non-coding RNA, 233 nt
Filed under: Streptomyces sp. CB02488
Lineage: Bacteria; Bacillati; Actinomycetota; Actinomycetes; Kitasatosporales; Streptomycetaceae
Description: Streptomyces sRNA 4677
Rfam family: Streptomyces sRNA 4677
About the family: Located in the intergenic region between anti-sigma factor SCO4677 gene and a putative regulatory protein gene SCO4676. scr4677 expression requires the SCO4677 activity and scr4677 sRNA itself seem to affect the levels of the SCO4676-associated transcripts.
Source: Rfam by way of RNAcentral